RNAcentral lists this transfer RNA (73 nucleotides) under Loxodonta africana (African savanna elephant). It matches the Rfam family "tRNA". Rfam says of the family: Transfer RNA (tRNA) molecules are approximately 80 nucleotides in length. Their secondary structure includes four short double-helical elements and three loops (D, anti-codon, and T loops). Further hydrogen bonds mediate the characteristic L-shaped molecular structure. tRNAs have two regions of fundamental functional importance: the anti-codon, which is responsible for specific mRNA codon recognition, and the 3' end, to which the tRNAs corresponding amino acid is attached (by aminoacyl-tRNA synthetases). tRNAs cope with the degeneracy of the genetic code in two manners: having more than one tRNA (with a specific anti-codon) for a particular amino acid; and 'wobble' base-pairing, i.e. permitting non-standard base-pairing at the 3rd anti-codon position. The record is from Rfam by way of RNAcentral. Lineage: Eukaryota; Metazoa; Chordata; Mammalia; Proboscidea; Elephantidae.
GCUUGAGUGGGGCAAGUGGUUAAGCACUUGGCUACUAACCAAAAGAUUGGUGGUUCCAAUCUACCCUGAAGCU